RNAcentral lists this ribosomal RNA (460 nucleotides) under uncultured bacterium. Its description in RNAcentral is "partial 16S ribosomal RNA". It matches the Rfam family "Bacterial small subunit ribosomal RNA", at positions 338 to 795 of the family's 1533-position model. The record is from RNAcentral.
CCUACGGGGGGCAGCAGUGAGGAAUAUUGGUCAAUGGACGAGAGUCUGAACCAGCCAAGUAGCGUGAAGGAUGACUGCCCUAUGGGUUGUAAACUUCUUUUAUAUGGGAAUAAAAUGUUCCACGUGUGGGAUUUUGUAUGUACCAUAUGAAUAAGGAUCGGCUAACUCCGUGCCAGCAGCCGCGGUAAUACGGAAGAUCCGAGCGUUAUCCGGAUUUAUUGGGUUUAAAGGGAGCGUAGGUGGAUUGUUAAGUCAGUUGUGAAAGUUUGGGGCUCAACCGUAGAAUUGCAGUUGAAACUGGCAGUCUUGAGUACAGUAGAGGUAGGCGGAAUUCGUGGUGUAGCGGUGAAAUGCUUAGAUAUCACGAAGAACUCCGAUUGCGAAGGCAGUUCACUGGACUGCAACUGACACUGAGGCUCGAAGGUGUGGGUAUCAAACAGGAUUAGAUACCCGAGUAGUC